CCUACGGGUUGCACCAGUGGGGAAUAUUGCACAAUGGGCGCAAGCCUGAUGCAGCCAUGCCGCGUGUGUGAAGAAGGCCUUCGGGUUGUAAAGCACUUUCAGCGAGGAGGAAGGUGGUGAACUUAAUACGUUCAUCAAUUGACGUUACUCGCAGAAGAAGCACCGGCUAACUCCGUGCCAGCAGCCGCGGUAAUACGGAGGGUGCAAGCGUUAAUCGGAAUCACUGGGCGUAAAGCGCACGCAGGCGGUUUGUCAAGUCAGAUGUGAACUCCCCGGGCUCAACCUGGGAACUGCAUUUGAAACUGGCAAGCUAGAGUCUCGUAGAAGGGGGUAGAAUUCCAGGUGUAGCGGUGAAAUGCGUAGAGAUCUGGAGGAAUACCGGUGGCGAAGGCGGCCCCCUGGACGAAGACUGACGCUCAGGUGCGUAAGCGUGGGGAGCAAACAGGAUUAGAUACCCCAGUAGUC
RNAcentral lists this ribosomal RNA (465 nucleotides) under uncultured bacterium. RNAcentral's name for it is "bacterial SSU rRNA". It matches the Rfam family "Bacterial small subunit ribosomal RNA", at positions 338 to 795 of the family's 1533-position model. The record is from RNAcentral.